RNAcentral lists this ribosomal RNA (285 nucleotides) under Triticum aestivum (bread wheat). RNAcentral's name for it is "partial small subunit ribosomal RNA". Lineage: Eukaryota; Viridiplantae; Streptophyta; Magnoliopsida; Poales; Poaceae. The record is from RNAcentral.
AUGACCCCUGCGGAUUUGACCCUACCUACACGCGGAGCCAAUCCCCUAGCGGUCCUGCCACCACGCCGCAGAACAGGAGCUCGUGUGGAACCUUGGAUUUCUGGCGUAACAGCGGUGGAAGGUAUCAAAAUAUUAUGGACGCAUAACCAUAACAUAGUAUAUACGCUAAGGUCGGCCAAAAUAUGGACACCCGAAGGGCCCGGCGCGCACAAUCCUAUCAUAUUAUGGAUUUUGCAACCCCUGAACGCCAGUGCUUCUACAACCAAUGGAUACUAUUUAACAUAA